Long non-coding RNA from Xyrauchen texanus (razorback sucker), 3131 nucleotides. RefSeq lists it as uncharacterized. The record is from RefSeq and is a predicted model, not a curated record. The transcript is spliced from 6 exons. NCBI's taxonomy places the organism in Eukaryota, Metazoa, Chordata, Actinopteri, Cypriniformes, Catostomidae.
UCAUGGUGAAACCUCCAAACAUUUGGUAUCUCUGAAAAGCCCUGAAUGUGCUCUUUAAAGGACACCCAGAAUGUCAAGUCAAGUCACCUUUAUUUAUAUAGUGCUUUUUAUAAUACAGAUUGUUUUGCAUUUUUCAUAGAGAGCAUAUGACGUAAUUUAGAUAUAUUUUUAAGAUUUAAAAAUGCAGUUUUACAGAUAGUUUUUCGAGUCUAUUUAAAAGAAUGUUGUGGUCGCUAGUGUCAAGCAGCACUAAGAUCUAGUAGCACUAAUAGAGAGAUACAACCACAAUCGGAUGAUAAGAGCAAACCAUUUGUGACUAAUGAGAGGUGUCUCUCAGUACUAUGAUACAGUCUAAAUCCUGAUUGAAAAUCCUCACAGAUAGUUGUAAAGAUACUGCCUUUUCUAGUAAAUGUAGAAAGCAAACUGAAAGAUGAGGUGUGCUACAGUGCAAUGGUACACUUGGUUUUAUUAAAUAUUUGGUAUUUAACACCUCUUUAAAAGCCUGCUAAAUUAAUAAAUGCAUUUAAAUAAAUAAAGUUUUGUACUUUUUCACUACAGUUUCAGCUGUACUGUGAAUAUACUAAUGUGUUACUGCUUUAAUUUAGGCAAAGUAUCUGGCAACAGUUGGGGGUACAAGCCCAACCUCCAACACCAGACAUAUCCUGGUCUGCAUGCUGACCACCCCACUUGCCCAGCAACUGUGCUGGAAGGGCUCUGGCCAGAAGAUGGCCUUUGGGCAGAUGUUGGUCUGCAAAGCAGUUAUACACUGUAAUAAAUAUCUGUGUAUUAACAGUUGUAUGACUGUAUAUUUUAUCGGAAAUUGUCCAUAGCAGGUGAUUCACAGGUGUUUUUCCGUUUAUUUACAUUUUCGUGGUGCAUUAUGGGACCUUGAUCUCUGCUCCGACCACUUGGUGGCCAUUAUCGCGGUACAACUAGUGAUCUAGAUAAGUGAGUACGUAAUCUUCUACGGAGGGAAACAUUUAACGUACCUUCCCCCAUCUGUGUGUCUCAUCCAGCUCCACUUUGCGUGUAAAAGGAUGCCUUAGCAGAGCUGCCAAGCACCCCAUGUAUCAUAGUUGUUGAUGAAGGAAGAUUCAAAGGACGAAGUCACCGUAACCAAAACAUCAGCUGUCCUCUGGUUGCUGUGUUCAGCCUCUUCUAUGUGCUGAACAUCAUGUACCCCAAGGGAGCAGCCCUGACUCUGGAGUUUUUCCAGAGGAGCCUGUUGGGUAUAAAUCCAGAAUGUGGGUCUAAAGCAGGCUUUCCACCAAAACUGCUUAGAUUCCUGUGAGACUUUCAGAAUCCUUUGGAAGAUUUAAAGACAUAGAACUACACAUGAGAUAAAGGAACAUGAGCCCUAAUCAUCAAACCAAUAUGACAUGACUGCUGUAGAGAGACGUCCUGUACUGUUUAAUUACAGUACUGGUGCUCGGAUGAAAAAAGGACAGUGGACAAGCGUCUUUGCCAUUUUUGGAGUAAUUAGAUCAAUAGUAAACCAAUCGUUUUUGAGAAUGAUCCCUCUGGCGUCAAUGGGUGGAUUCUGCAUUGACAUACACUCAAGAACACACACAUUAGAGCAGACAACACACCCAUGAGACCUGCAUGAGCAGGACCCUGACCUUUCUACAACAACGCAACAGCUGCCUUUCUUUCUGGAUCCCUUUUUAAAAGGACUCAAAGAUUUCUUACCAUUUUUUGCCUUUUUGUGUAACAGUUUAACCUUACAAGGGUUUACUCAACAUAACCCUCCUUUAUAGGCUUGGUUAUGUCUUAGAUCAAUGCCUAAAAUGUACAAUAAUUGUGUACUUUCAAAACCUCCUGUUGAUAUUCACUCUAAUCCUGAACUGUGUUGCAUUUUUAUUUGACCCAUGAAAUUGUUCAUUUUAAAUUUUUCAUGCUCAUAUCCCAACUAUUGAGGAUUUCAUAAAGUUUCAUAUUGAAAUUUUUUUUAUGGCUGUUUCAUUUAUGUGAAGCUGCAAUGGGCCAUUUUGAUCCAAACUAGUCGCUUAUCUAAAAUUGAUGAAUUUUUUUUAAUCUAUAAUUUAAUAAAAAAAAUUAUUUAUCGCAGAAGAUUUGUUUGAAUUUUUUUUUAACAAGAGUUAUCACUGUAGGUACACAGUUAACUAACAGAAAAGUUUAAAUUUUAUUGCUGUUGGUAUAAUACUGACAACAAAUAUUUUUGUUUUAUUAUCUGUAGGUAAACCAUAAAUUAACAGAUGUUUCAUUUUUUUUUAAAUUACAGGACAAAGUCAGGGUAAUGAGAUGCCAGUAUAUGUUCUGUUAUUUUAUGGAUUUAUUUAAUAUUUGCAGUUUUUAUACUGUAGGUAUACCAUUAAAUAACAGGAAGUGUUCUGUUUUUUACUGUAUAGAUGCACUAUUAAUUAAUAGAAAAUGUCCUGUUUUUUUUAUUGUAGGUAUACCAUUAAAACACAGAAAAUACAUAGUUUUUUUUUUUACUAUAGAUGCACCAUUAAAACACCGAAAAUUUCCUGUUUUUUUACUGUGGGCGCACUGUCAAUUAACAGAAAAUUUCUGUUUUUUAAUUACGGUACAAAGUCCGGGUAAUGAGCUGCCACUUUUUCUGUUAUUUUACGGAUUUAUUUCUUAGAGUGUAGGUACAGUAUAUAAUGUUUAUAUGUGAUAAGCCCGUAUAACAGGAAUAAAAAUGAAAAAAAAUAAAUAAAUAAAUGGGAAGGAAAAAUCAGUAGUCAGGCGUAAAUGUACAGUAAAUGAACAAUGUUUGAUCUAUCUCCAUGUUUCCUGUAGCCAGUAAUCCUCGUCAAAGUGCAAAGGAGGUUGAAAUGGUGUAACAGUACUUGAACAACCCUUAUUUUGUUUUUAACAUUUGUAUUUCAAUUGAUCCUUUCUCACUUAGAUGCUGUGACAAAAAGCAGCCAAGCCACUGCAUGCGAGGUGGAAGCGUCCAUAAAAACGUGGCUCCGUAAUGCAAGGGACAGGGAUGGGGGAAGGCAAGGAAGGGCCAGAACUGCAGUGAGGGAAAUACCUACUGAUGGGAUUGGUUUUUAAUUUACUUUCAUUUGUGUUUUAAGUAUUCUGUGGUUCUGUUUUUGUGUGUUUAUUGCUGUUUUAAACUGCUCUAUUGCUUUUUUUAUUGCUUGUUAAAAAUAAAU